GAUGAAGAACGUAGCGAAAUGCGAUACGUAGUGUGAAUUGCAGAAUUCAGUGAAUCAUCGAAUCUUUGAACGCACAUUGCACCUCUCGGUAUUCCGGGAGGUAUGCCUGUUCGAGCGUCAUUUGUACCCUCAAGCUCUGCUUGGUGUUGGGUGUUUGUUCCGCCUCUGUGUGUGAACUCGCCUCAAAACAAUUGGCAGCCGGCGUACUUGUUUCGGAGCGCAGCACAUUGCGCUUCUCGAGGCGGUCGAUCGGCGUCCACGAAGCUCACCUCCACCGUUUGACCUCGGAUCAGGUAGGGAUACCCGCUGAACUUAAGCAUAUCAAUAAGCGGAGGA
Molecule: unclassified non-coding RNA, 336 nt
Filed under: soil metagenome
Description: partial contains 5.8S ribosomal RNA, internal transcribed spacer 2, and large subunit ribosomal RNA
Rfam family: 5.8S ribosomal RNA (bases 1-120)
Source: RNAcentral